GGGCCUUCACCGGUUACCGAAAACUAUCAAACUCCGAAUACCGCAGUAUUAGACUUGGGAGUCAGACUACGAGAGAUAAGUUCCGUGGUCAAAAGGGAAACAGCCCAGACCUACAGCUAAGGUCCCCAAAUGUAGAUUAAGUGGAGAAGGAUGUGGAGCUGCAUAGACAACUAGGAUGUUGGCUUAGAAGCAGCCACUCAUUUAAAGAGUGCGUAAUAGCUCACUAGUCGAGUGACUCUGCGCCGAAGAUAAACGGGGCUGAAAUCUACUACCGAAGCUUAGGAAUUACAUUUAGUAAUUGGUAGAGGAGCAUCGUAUACGGGCAGAAGCUGUGCUGUAAGGCAUGGUGGACUGUAUACGAGAGAGAAUGUUGGCAUGAGUAGCGUAAGGCAGGUGAGAAUCCUGUCCGCCGAAAAUCUAAGGUUUCCUGAGGAAGGUUCGUCCACUCAGGGUUAGUCGGGGCCUAAGCCGAGAGCGAAAGCUGUAGGCGAUGGACAACAGGUUGAUAUUCCUGUACCACCGAAAGUCGUUUGAGCGAAGUGGGGACACAGAAGGAUAGGUUGAGCACGCUGUUGGUAAUGCGUGUCCAAGCGUCGAGGGAGAACUGGUAGGCAAAUCCGCGAGUUCAAUUCUGAGGCGUGAUGGGGUGGCCGCAAGGCUGGAAGCAACUGAUUUCACACUGUCAAGAAAAGCCGCUAGCGAGACCGUAGGUGCCCGUACCGCAAACCGACACAGGUAGAUGAGGAGAGAAUCCUAAGGUGAGCGAGAGAACUAUUGUUAAGGAACUCGGCAAAAUAACCCCGUAACUUCGGGAGAAGGGGUGCUCCGGAAACGGAGCCGCAGUGAAAAGUCCCAGGCGACUGUUUACCAAAAACACAGGUCUCUGCGAAAGCGAAAGCUGAAGUAUAGGGGCUGACGCCUGCCCGGUGCUGGAAGGUUAAGGGGAUGUGUAAGGGCAACCGAAGCACUGAACUUAAGCCCCAGUAAACGGCGGCCGUAACUAUAACGGUCCUAAGGUAGCGAAAUUCCUUGUCGGGUAAGUUCCGACCCGCACGAAAGGCGUAACGAUCUGGGAACUGUCUCAACAAUAGACUCGGUGAAAUUGUAGUACCGGUAAAGAUGCCGGUUACCCGCAGCAGGACGGAAAGACCCCAUGGAGCUUUACUGUAGCUUGAUAUUGAGAUUCGGCGUUGCAUGUACAGGAUAGGUGGGAGACUGCGAGACUAGUACGCCAGUAUUAGAGGAGUCACCGUUGGGAUACCACCCUUGUAACGUUGGAUUUCUAACAUUGCGCCGUGAACCGGCGUGUGGACAGUGUCAGGUGGGCAGUUUGACUGGGGCGGUCGCCUCCUAAAGAGUAACGGAGGCGCCCAAAGGUUCCCUCAGUGCGGUCGGAAAUCGCGCGAAGAGUGUAAAGGCAGAAGGGAGCUUGACUGCGAGACAGACAAGUCGAG
RNAcentral lists this ribosomal RNA (1454 nucleotides) under human gut metagenome. Its description in RNAcentral is "bacterial LSU rRNA". It matches the Rfam family "Bacterial large subunit ribosomal RNA", at positions 923 to 2393 of the family's 2925-position model. The record is from RNAcentral.